CCAAUAGCGUAUAUUAAAGUUGUUGCAGUUAAAAAGCUCGUAGUUGAACUUCGGGAUUCACCCAUUGGUCAGGCUUAAUUGUCUGCACUGGUGAGAUGAGUCUCUACCUUCUGAGGAACUUUCAUGCCAUUUAUUUGGUGUGGUUGGAAAUCAGGACUGUUACUUUGAAAAAAUUAGAGUGUUUAAAGCAGGCUAACGUCUGAAUACAUUAGCAUGGAAUAAUGAAAUAGGACGGACUGAUUCUAUUUCGUUGGUUUCUAGGAUCACCGUAAUGAUUAAUAGGGAUAGUUGGGGGCAUUAGUAUUCAAUUGCCAGAGGUGAAAUUCUUGGAUUUAUUGAAGACUAACUACUGCGAAAGCAUUUGCCAAGGAUGUUUUCAUUAAUCAAGAACGAAAGUUAGGGGAUCGAAGACGAUCAGAUACCGUCGUAGUCUUAACCAUAAACUAUGCCGACUAGGGAUCGGACGAAGUUAAUUUUAUAAUGACGCGUUCGGCACCUUACG
Molecule: ribosomal RNA, 502 nt
Filed under: uncultured Glomeromycotina
Lineage: Eukaryota; Fungi; Glomeromycota
Description: partial small subunit ribosomal RNA
Rfam family: Eukaryotic small subunit ribosomal RNA
Source: RNAcentral